This 74-nucleotide transfer RNA is filed under the name Candidatus Yanofskybacteria bacterium CG10_big_fil_rev_8_21_14_0_10_36_16. RNAcentral's name for it is "tRNA-Pro". It matches the Rfam family "tRNA". From Rfam's summary of the family: Transfer RNA (tRNA) molecules are approximately 80 nucleotides in length. Their secondary structure includes four short double-helical elements and three loops (D, anti-codon, and T loops). Further hydrogen bonds mediate the characteristic L-shaped molecular structure. tRNAs have two regions of fundamental functional importance: the anti-codon, which is responsible for specific mRNA codon recognition, and the 3' end, to which the tRNAs corresponding amino acid is attached (by aminoacyl-tRNA synthetases). tRNAs cope with the degeneracy of the genetic code in two manners: having more than one tRNA (with a specific anti-codon) for a particular amino acid; and 'wobble' base-pairing, i.e. permitting non-standard base-pairing at the 3rd anti-codon position. Lineage: Bacteria; Candidatus Yanofskyibacteriota. The record is from RNAcentral.
CGGGCCGUGGUGUAACGGUAGCACGGGUCCUUUGGGAGGAUCUAGUUCGAGUUCGAAUCUCGGCGGCCCGACAA